Long non-coding RNA from Pungitius pungitius (ninespine stickleback), 1279 nucleotides. RefSeq lists it as uncharacterized. The transcript is spliced from 4 exons. NCBI's taxonomy places the organism in Eukaryota, Metazoa, Chordata, Actinopteri, Perciformes, Gasterosteidae. The record is from RefSeq and is a predicted model, not a curated record.
UAAGACCUGGAUUAUAACUAAUUUCCCUUUAACCAUUUUAAGUAUCCUUACGGUGGCUUUUGGGCCUAUAACACUUAAUAAGCAGUUUUCCAUUUGCCCAAAGAGUGAUUGUAAUAUCUACCCAUGUAUAAAUAGGCAUUUUAAUUCAGAUUGUCAUAGGUAUUGAGAUAGAUAAUAUAUUGUUUGUCGUUAAGAACAGAAGUAGAUGUUGUUACUAUAAUGCAUUCCGAGAAACUUAAUUCAUUUCAUUAAAAAAAAAAAAAAGAGUACUGUAAUGAGUUGGAUGUAUAGCUUUGGCUGAAUGUGUCCCUUGUGCUUUUAGGAGGAUGGAGCAUGUUUGCCAUCCAGUAGUGACAGCUCGAAGUGCACAGAUGCUGAUUUCGGAGAAAUGAAGGAGCCUUUGACCGUGAACAUACUAACCAGGUAGUUCCGAUGAAAAGAUGCUGCUGGCUGGAGAGGUCUGGUGAAUCUCACACAAAAAAGGGUCACCACAAACAAAGAAGAAGUGGACCAAAGAGGAAAUCGAAGCUGUUGAAAGGACCUUAAUGGACUACAUCAAUGGUGGUCAGUGGUCAGAAAUGCAUCACGACAUCGUCACUGGCCGAUCAAGGGAUGAGUUGUCAAAAUAUAUAUAAAAAACUGAAUUAAAAAAAAUUAAAAAAAAGGUAAGCCGCAUUUUCAUCAGAUGGAAGAUUAAAUUCCUGGUGGACUGCCAGCACGUUUACAGACAUUGUUUACAGUAGUCUUAUUGCUCCCUGUUCUGUAAUUGUUAACUUUAUAUAAUAUUUGAAAGUUGAUGAUGAUGCUUUAAACUGCAUAGUUUAAAAAAAAUAAAGAUGCAAUAUAUCAAACAAUAUUAUAGAGUGGGGUUUAAUAUACAUAGAUAAUGAGUCAUUAUACAAUGAUAAUGAGUCAUUAUACAAUUAUAACAUUCAAUGGUGUAUAUAUUCACCAUGAAUUGACAAAAUAUGUAUUAAGUGCCUUAGAGUUUCUAAAAAGUACCCUUUAUUGAGUACCUUACCUUGUUUGAGACACAUUUUGAACACUGCCCCCUGGUGUGAUUUUGUAUUAUGACAUAAUUGGACGGUCCCCACCGGAAUAGAGAAACCAGAAAAAUAUUCAACUCUAUAAAUUUGAGAAAUUUUGAGAUUUAAGGUGAUAUUGGGGUUUGAAAAAAAUUAAGGAAAAUGAUUUGAUUGAAAGUAUGCCAUUAUUCUGUUAAAAAAAAUGAGGUCCCCACGCUUCACCUCUGUGCAUAAGUCCCCACCGGCAUAGAAGA